Molecule: ribosomal RNA, 253 nt
Filed under: uncultured bacterium
Lineage: Bacteria
Description: partial 16S ribosomal RNA
Rfam family: Bacterial small subunit ribosomal RNA
Source: RNAcentral
UACGGGGGGGGCAAGCGUUGUUCGGAAUUAUUGGGCGUAAAGGGCUCGUAGGCGGUUUGUCGCGUCGGGAGUGAAAUCCACUGGCUUAACUGGUGACUUGCUUUCGAUACGGGCAGACUGGAGGUAUGCAGGGGAGAACGGAAUUCCUGGUGUAGCGGUGAAAUGCGCAGAUAUCAGGAGGAACACCGGUGGCGAAGGCGGUUCUCUGGGCAGUUGCUGACGCUGAUGCGCGACAGCGUGGGGAGCAAACAGG